GUAAGUAGAGGAGAAAAAGCCAAAUGAGAAGUCUGGAGUCUCCACAUGAAUGAGAUGGGUGUGAGAAAACUAGACCAACGAGUGGAAGAACAAGAAGUCAUAUUUAAAAUUCAUUUUUAAAAGUGGAAUGAGUAUGGAAUAUUAUACAGUCAUCAAAAGGAAUGAAGUACUAACAGGUGCUACAACUCAGAUGAACUACUAAGUGAAAGAAGCAACACAAAGGACUAUAUAUUGUAUGAUUCCACGUACAUGAAAUAUCCAGAAUAGACAAACUCAGAGAAAGAAUGCAGACUAGUUGCUGCCAGGGGCUAGGGAGAGGGUGGAAUGGGGAGAAAGUGCUUGAUGGGUAAAAGGUUUUAUUUUGGAGUGAUGGAAAUGUUCUGGAACUAGACAGUGGUGCUGAUUGCACAGCAUUGUGAAUGUACUAAGUGCCACAGAAUUGCUCAUUUUAAAACGGUUAAUUUGGAAAUAAAAAGGAAAACGAAAAAGGUGGAAUAAGUAGCCUCAGGAUUUUUGAGUUCUCCGUCCCUAAAGUUGUUUGCUCCGGCAUAAACUGGAAGUUCACUCAUUAGACAUGCAGUGACAGCAGUAAUCAAGAUUGGAACAAAAUGAACCAAAGUUCC
RNAcentral lists this long non-coding RNA (623 nucleotides) under Equus caballus (horse). RNAcentral describes it as "lncRNA (ENSECAG00000043779.2)". Lineage: Eukaryota; Metazoa; Chordata; Mammalia; Perissodactyla; Equidae. The record is from RNAcentral.